This 550-nucleotide long non-coding RNA is filed under the name Daucus carota (carrot). Its description in RNAcentral is "long non-coding RNA (DCAR_LNC005705)". The record is from RNAcentral. Lineage: Eukaryota; Viridiplantae; Streptophyta; Magnoliopsida; Apiales; Apiaceae.
CUCUCUUCUAGAUAAUUUAAUACAGUUAUUUUCCUUACAAAUUGAAAAAAAAUUGUCUGCAAAAUCUGGUCACUUAUAAUGAGCAGCACAUAUAUACGCAGUUCUUUGUUCUGAUAAUAACAUGAACAUUUGUUAUUACAUCAGUAGUGAUAUAUCUGUUAUUACAUAAAAAAAAAACUAGAUCGAUAAAAUAUUACACCAAUUUGUUUAUCUUAUAUAUUCAAAACUGGAGCAAGAGCUGAGGACGAGAACUGCAAUGAUCUCUCUUGCGAUCUCUUCACAUAGAAAGAGAAGGAAUCGCCUAAUGACGAAAAUUCCUUCUCAUCUUCGUGGAUCGUAUCCAACACUUUCAACAUGCAAUGCCGUCUCAUGGAAGUGACAAACAGUGGUGGUGCCACUUCAGAAACGUACCUGGCCAUGAGGGAGGUCGCCAUAUGUUUUAUCUUUUCAACUGAAGAAUUAAAAACCAGGUGGAAUUGAACUAAGACUGAAGUGUUGUGAAGUGUUGUGAUUUCAACUGUGUUCUUGUUUGAUACUUAUAGGGGUUCUG